AAGGGCGAGGAAUAGAUAGGAACGUACCAUAAGCUUCGGAAUAGCGUCUCGAAAGGGGCGGUAAUACCGGAUAAUGUCUUCGGACCAAAGAUUUAUCGGCUUUUGAGCGGCCUAUCUCCUAUCAGCUUGUUGGUGAGGUAAUGGCUCACCAAGGCAACGACGGGUAGCGGGACUGAGAGGUUGGCCCGCCGCAUCGGGACUGAGACACUGCCCGGACCUCCACGGAGGGCUGCAGUAACGGAUAUUGGGCAAUGGGCGAAAGCCUGACCCAGCAAUGCCGCGUGCAGGAUGAAGCCCCUCGGGGUGUAAACUGCUGUCAGGGGUCAGAAAGACAGUUUAGGCUGUUUGAUCAGCCCCAGAGGAAGUCACGGCUAACUUCGUGCCAGCAGCCGCGGUAAUACGAAGGUGGCAAGCGUUGUUCGGAAUCACUGGGCUUAAAGGGCACGCAGGCGGAAUGGAAAGUGUUUUGUGAAAUCCCCCGGCUUAACCGGGGAAUUGCUUGACAAACUUCUAUUCUUGAGGCAGGUAGGGGUGUGUGGAACUCUUGGUGGAGCGGUGGAAUGCGUAGAUAUCAAGAGGAACGCCAAUGGUGAAGACAGCACACUGGGCCUGUCCUGACGCUGAGGUGCGAAAGCGUGGGGAGCAAACGGGAUUAGAUACCCCGGUAGUCCACGCUGUAAACGAUGUCUACUAGGUUGUGGGAGUUCUGACACUCUCGCAGCCGAAGCAAAAGUGUUUAGUAGACCGCCUGGGGAGUACGGUCGCAAGGCUAAAACUCAAAGGAAUUGACGGGGGCUCACACUAGCGGUGGAGCAUGUGGAUUAAUUUGAAGCAACGCGCAGAACCUUACCUGGGUUUGACAUGCUAGGAUGCCUGCCCCGAAAGGGGUUAGGCUGCUUUUUAGGUGAAACUUGCACAGGUGCUGCAUGGCGAUAGUCAGCUCGUGUCGUGAGAUGUCGGGUUAAGUCCUUUAACGAGAGAAACCCUUACCAUUAGUUACCAGCGGGUCAUGCCGGGGACUCUAGUCGGGACUCCCGAUGUCAAACCGGAGGAAGGUGGGGAUGACGUCAAGUCCUCAUGGCCUUUAUGCCCAG
This 1094-nucleotide ribosomal RNA is filed under the name uncultured organism. RNAcentral describes it as "bacterial SSU rRNA". It matches the Rfam family "Bacterial small subunit ribosomal RNA", at positions 102 to 1211 of the family's 1533-position model. The record is from RNAcentral.